Molecule: long non-coding RNA, 670 nt
Organism: Rhagoletis pomonella (apple maggot)
Lineage: Eukaryota; Metazoa; Arthropoda; Insecta; Diptera; Tephritidae
Exons: 3
Source: RefSeq, a predicted model, not a curated record
UGUUUUAUACAAUACACGCAUUUGUGAAAUUUAUAUUAUCAUACAAUACCGUGCAUUUGUGAAGAUAUUAAGAGCAUAUUGUCGAAAGACCGUUGAUUUAGGAAUUCUAUAGUGGCUAGUAUGUACAUAUUGAAGAUAUGCAGUGCUUCACGGAUCCUCAAACAUUUUAAAUGCUAUGUUCAGGUGUGAUACAUUAGCAAAUUCCAUAUUUUAUUCUAAGACGUCGAGUUAGAAAUCGCCACAACUUUACCAACUAUAAUUUUCAGGUCGAAGGUACAUUGCCGGACUGCAAUCACUUCAACCAGAAGCCGUGUCACCUUCCCAUCAAAGAUGCGAUAUGCACUUAUGCUUACGAGAAACGUUUGCCGUGUGGUCAUGUGUGCCAGCUUAAGUGUCAUGUUAACAAAGACCCGGAACAUAUCGAGUACAAGUUCUACAGAGAUUGCGAUCGGAUUUAUGACAAUUGUGUGGAAAUCACACGUGUAAGAAACAAUGCUUCGAAGAAUGCGGACUGUGUCCAAAAAUUGUCGCUCUUGCGGACAUAAUUUCAAGCCAUUUGUGUGCUCGAAGAAUGUAGAGGAAAUUGAGUGCGACAGACCUUGCAAGCGCAAGUUAAGCUGUGGUCACAAGUGCCCGUCGAAAUGGUGCGAACCAUGCGGAAGCUGUUCAU